GAAAUAUCGUCCGCUCUGCGAUGCGCUGGUAACGCAAAGGCAAUUCAAAUUCCUUCCACACCCUUGAGGAGAUAAUAUCAAGGAUCCAUACAAACGAAUUCGAGAAAGGAGCAAAUCAAGCGUUUGAUUGUAAGCUAGGUUGUUUAAAAUCAAUAUCAACAUCAACGCUCCCAUCUAGAAAUAUUCCAUCCCUGUACUCUCAAGUGUUAUAAAUGCGCAUUAAAACCGUAUAUGCCCAGUAUACGCGGACAAGUGAAAGGAAUAGAUAGUCGUUUGAAAAUAACCCUUUAUGGAAAUGCAGUUGUAAAAAUGAUACAU
RNAcentral lists this small RNA (318 nucleotides) under Histoplasma capsulatum. Its description in RNAcentral is "hypothetical RNA". RNAcentral also lists the same sequence under 1 other name. The record is from RNAcentral. Lineage: Eukaryota; Fungi; Ascomycota; Eurotiomycetes; Onygenales; Ajellomycetaceae.